Molecule: ribosomal RNA, 468 nt
Filed under: uncultured bacterium
Lineage: Bacteria
Description: partial 16S ribosomal RNA
Rfam family: Bacterial small subunit ribosomal RNA
Source: RNAcentral
GACGAACGUUGGCGGCGUGCUUAACACAUGCCAGUCGAACGGAAAGGCCCUGCUUUUGUGGGGUGCUCGAGUGGCGAACGGGUGAGUAACACGUGAGUAACCUGCCCUUGACUUUGGGAUAACUUCAGGAAACUGGGGCUAAUACCGGAUAGGAGCUCCUGCUGCAUGGUGGGGGUUGGAAAGUUUCGGCGGUUGGGGAUGGACUCGCGGCUUAUCAGCUUGUUGGUGGGGUAGUGGCUUACCAAGGCUUUGACGGGUAGCCGGCCUGAGAGGGUGACCGGCCACAUUGGGACUGAGAUACGGCCCAGACUCCUACGGGAGGCAGCAGUGGGGAAUAUUGCACAAUGGGCGGAAGCCUGAUGCAGCAACGCCGCGUGCGGGAUGACGGCCUUCGGGUUGUAAACCGCUUUCGCCUGUGACGAAGCGUGAGUGACGGUAAUGGGUAAAGAAGCACCGGCUAACUACGUG